Non-coding RNA from Durio zibethinus, 2215 nucleotides. The record is from RefSeq and is a predicted model, not a curated record. Lineage: Eukaryota; Viridiplantae; Streptophyta; Magnoliopsida; Malvales; Malvaceae.
GGUGUGAACCGUGACGGUUAGGUUGAUCCGAGACGCCGGAAGGGUGAAUGUCCGGGUCUCGGAGUCGCGCGGGUUCGGAGCUUAAGUCUUGACCCGUGACAAAAGCACUAAGUUGUAUAGAUUUUAAGGUAACAACAAUGCGUAAAUCAGUUUUGGAAAUGUCAUCUAAAUGGUUUGAUACUAUUUCUAAAUCAAGGUAAUAUUGGCUCAAAAUUUUUGCCGAAAGUAGGGGUUAGUUGGUUUUUUCCUUCUCUUUUUUUUUUUUGUUACUUUAUGAACUUGCACGGUCAUAGGAUAGGCUUGCAUGAUCAGCUUGUGAAGGAAAGGUGCUUGCAUGGUCAUAGGAUGAAUUAGUGAAAUUAUCUCUUUAUGCUCGUGCAAUAACAGAUGUGGAGGAUGAGGAAUUAAGAAGCUUCUUUUAUGGAAUGUCACCUUAGCAAUUCAUGCUUAUGGUUGCUGCCAGCUUAGUCGAAGUGGAGCUUUUCUACGGGAUGCUGUUCAGGGAGCAUUGGCUGAUAUAUUCCUUAGAGGCACUGAGUUGGUUUUGGAUACUCGAGGAAUGGCAUCACUGACUGGUGUGCUGCCUCCCUUUGUACCAUUUUCUCAGGCAUUUGCAGUUGUAAUAACAACAGCUUUUAUAGGUUCUCUUUAUUAUGUGGCUGCCUCUCCAAAAGGUAGAUUCUGUCUGUCUUUUUUGAGAAAUUUUUAGUUAUCGUCAAGUUCAAUUUUUAUUUAGUUUUUACUUUUCUUUCUCCCAUUUUUAGAUUCUACUUAUGUAGUUGCACUCAGUGAACUUCAAGUUUAUUAACUUGUCCUAGACAAUGAUGCAGUGAACUUCAAGUUUAUUAACUUGUCCUAGACAAUGAUGUCUUUUAAUGGUGAGCUUGCUUAACUUUUAAAUAUCAUGAUCCAAUUUGUUGCUAGUAAAUAUUGAAGCAUUCUAUGUAUAAUUGGUAAGAAUUUGUGAGAUUGUGGAUGUAUUAAGAAUUAAAAGAGAACUUUUAGUUUUGCAUGUCUAAUCCAAUGUCUCCAAAACCCAUAAAGUUAGUGAUUCAAGAAAUCAAAGUCACUUGUUAUUUUCUACACCGGAAUGUCUCCUUUAUAUUUCUUUGAAGUGGGCAAUAUAAGCACAAAGAUGCAUUUGAGAGUUGCGCAUGAUGCUGUUGUAUUUUGUGUUUCUUCAAUUGGUUCUAUUGAUGCUUUUUGCAAGAGGUGGAAAAAGGGUUUUUUUUUUUUUUUUUUCGCUGUUUGAUUUUAAUUAUUUAAAAGCUUCAUACAUUUUAUUUUCCAAUUUAAUUAACAUCUAAUGGAGGGUGUUCAUUUCUUAUUUUUCUCCAUUUCUGUUUGUUACGAGGUGAAUAGUUAGCUGCAGAUAGGACCAAUAUAUGUUGAUAUAUUUGACUUCAGUGACCAGCACUCAUUUCAAAGAUAUUCAUACGAUGAGAGAAUGAGUUAGACAACUUCAAGACAAAUUUGGUUUUAAGCCAAUUGUUAUAGUUACAGAAAAGGUGAGUAACCAAAGAAACUGGUUUUGAUACAUGCAGCAGAGUUUUCUUGAUAUGAAUCUUUCAAUCAGUUUUAGUCCUUGACAGGUUGCUCUAGAAAUCUUUAACCAUUUGAUCCAAAAUAAUAAUGAACUCUUAUUUGCUUUUAGAAUUUAUCUUUCAAUCCUUAAUCCUUCAUCCUUUUCUUAGAAGAAGUGUAUCAGAGGUUGUAAGGAUAAGCUUGCUAUCUUGCUUAUAAGUGUCAUAGAUAGGAUUUUGUGGUAUUUGUUUCACAUGUUCUUAUGAUGAUGACUUGGUAAACUAAAUACAUGGACAAUUUUAAUACUGUUUUUCUAAAACUUUGUUAAUAUGUUUUCUAAUUGUAGAAAACUAAAUAAUAUUUGUUAUCGUUCACUGUAAAAUUAAAAAUAGUUUUUGAGUUACUAUUGUAAUAUCUUUAUUGUUGUUGAAUAUUGAAUAAUUUAAAAUAAUUUAUGUUGCAAAGAACUUAUUGCAGUAGCGAAGCAUGGGUUAUCUCCUAGUAAAUAUAUAAAAUCCAAAGUUUUUUAUAAAAAAGAUAAUUGUCCUACAUGGAUGGUCUAAUUUUUUUACAUGUGAACAAUCUUAAAUAACUUUCAUGUGUCCAUUAUUAAAUGGGUUUUAUUUAAUUUGACUUGAUUUUCAUCAAAUUAAUUACAUUCAUAUAAGAUAGCUUAAAUAUCUUUUUUAUU